GAUGAACGCUGGCGGCGUGCCUAAUACAUGCAAGUCGAGCGAACAGACGAGGAGCUUGCUCCUCUGACGUUAGCGGCGGACGGGUGAGUAACACGUGGAUAACCUACCUAUAAGACUGGGAUAACUUCGGGAAACCGGAGCUAAUACCGGAUAAUAUAUUGAACCGCAUGGUUCAAUAGUGAAAGACGGUUUUGCUGUCACUUAUAGAUGGAUCCGCGCCGCAUUAGCUAGAUGGUAAGGUAACGGCUUACCAAGGCAACGAUGCGUAGCCGACCUGAGAGGGUGGUCGGCCACACUGGAACUGAGACACCGUCCAGACGCCUGCGGGAGGCCGCAGUAGGGAAUCUUCCGCAAAGGGCGAGAGCCUGACGGAGCAACGCCGCGUGAGUGAUGAAGGUCUUCGGAUCGUAAAACUCUGUUAUUAGGGAAGAACAAAUGUGUAAGUAACUAUGCACGUCUUGACGGUACCUAGUCAGAAAGCCACGGCUAACUACGUG
Molecule: ribosomal RNA, 497 nt
Filed under: uncultured bacterium
Lineage: Bacteria
Description: partial 16S ribosomal RNA
Rfam family: Bacterial small subunit ribosomal RNA
Source: RNAcentral